AACUUCAUAGGUUGAAGAUGAAGAUCAUGAUGAUCUUCAUCUGAAUUUUCCAGAUUUUUCAAAGGGGUCCAGAAAUAAAAAAAAAAUAACACCAAACGAUUCAUCAUGUCAUGUACAUUCAAGAUCCAUAAGCAUUUCAACAUAAUUCAUCCCAACAAACUCAAAUCGAAGAAAAUAAAAUUGAACAUCAAACUUUUAAUCAUGCAUAUCUAGC
This 214-nucleotide long non-coding RNA is filed under the name Lathyrus oleraceus (garden pea). Its description in RNAcentral is "Pisum sativum (pea) long non-coding RNA (PSAT_LNC032028)". Lineage: Eukaryota; Viridiplantae; Streptophyta; Magnoliopsida; Fabales; Fabaceae. The record is from RNAcentral.